This is a long non-coding RNA of Bombus huntii, 2872 nucleotides long. RefSeq lists it as uncharacterized. The record is from RefSeq and is a predicted model, not a curated record. NCBI's taxonomy places the organism in Eukaryota, Metazoa, Arthropoda, Insecta, Hymenoptera, Apidae. The transcript has 5 exons.
AGAUGAUAAUAUUUACUGGUGUAUAAUUAACUUCAAACGGAUAUUCUACAUUGACCAAGGUUGGAAUAGGUAAGACCAAAGGCCCAAACAUAAAAAAGGUUAGCGACGUAUAAACAGCCACUACAUAAGCACUAUAAAGGACGUUGCAUUUUACUAUAUGUGCGAUGAAAAUUUCUCUUUCGAACUGCUGCGCCUCGUUCACACAUUUCACCAUCUCUCCAAUUAUACGCUACAACAUGUUUCAAACAUCAAUGCUUCCGACGCGAAUUAAUUGCUGAAGGGACGCGAGGUUGAACUUACUUGCAGCGAGUCGCGCUUCUUCCAACAUAUACAAGUCUGAAUAACUAGUUGCGUGGUGUAUAUCGUUAAGGUGAUACAUUUGAAGAGAGCGUCCAAGUAAAAACUUAUAUCGUCUAAGUACAAAUAAAUCGAGUACAACGAAGGCACAAGAAUCAGAAAAGCGUUGAUGACAAUACAAAUUUGUGCAAUUUUGUAACUGCCGCGGCUUCUGCCGCUAUUGUCAGCAGAUGGCCAACAAAAGCUUAAAGCUACACUGAGCCGAGUAAACUGGAUUACAUCUUCCGGUGUUAUUUGUUUCGACAUAAUCUCAACAAACUUUUACAUCUAAUGAAUCGAACUAAACACGUUUCAAUUCGCACAGUAGGAAGAUAUGUCCAGGUUCUUGGGAGCCAGGUGCGAAUCAAUAAAUGAUACUGAAAAUACGCAGGAACAACUCGUGUUUAUUGGAAAGUACGGAGUUCUUAUACUACUGUUAGGUGCUUCGAUGGUAAGAAUUAUUAAUUGCAUUAUGCAUUUGCACGUUUCUGGUUACUAGAGAGGCACAAAGGCACGUUAUUACGUACAGCCGACAAUAUUCAAGUUGCAGAACCUUCUUCGAAAAUGCAACGUGGCAUAUGUGCACGAUGCCAUAUAUUUAGUAUCUUGGGCGAUAUGUAUAGCUAAGACUAAAAUAAUAACAAAGUUUUCCAUCUAAACAUCUAGUAGUUGUAUCGACUUAUAUUUCUUUGAGGAUGAGUCUGGAUGAUUUCUCAUGACAUCGUUGUAAAAAACGGGUGAUCUGUGAUUACAAGCGUAGUCAACGCGAAGACAUUUGAUGCGGUCCUCUGUCUGCUCAAUACCAUCUAUGGAAGAAAUAAUGGACAACCCGUAACCCUACACAACGGUAAUAUUAACGGUUUUCUUCGUGCGCAUGCAUCCUGAAAAUAAUGAGUUUUAAUGUAUAUUUUCAUUGAAACAACUAGUUUGGAAUUUCUUUCUUUAUGAGUAUCCUUUCAUCAUAUUCUAGUCUUCACUACAUAUUACGUAUUUAGGAUAUACUAGUGGUCUUGUACCAUGGUACGCAAAGCAGUACAAAAGGAGAAGGCGUUGGACACGAACUGAAAUGAUAUCAACCCGUUAUUUAUAUACGUAUUAUUCGUAAUUAACCUGUUAAUCAGGGGAAACUAGAUAACGUGUCACUGACAUUGCUAAUCUCUUGAACAUAAUAUCUUCAUUUAAUAUUCUCUAUAUUUUUCCGCGAGCUUUCUUCAUAUUUCUUCCUAUUAACCUUCCUAUCAAUUAUCCUGUAUUUACAUUUACGCGAUCCAAAACCGAACAAAAUGACAUCAUUAUGUUUUAAUUCCACGACCGUAGACUUUUUUUACUCAGUUACGACCUGAUUAACAGGAUAAUUUAUUCAUUUCCCAGUUUCUUGCCUUCAGACUCAUUACAUACUUAUAACGGGUGUAUGUAAAUAUGCAACAAGUAAGAAUGCACGAAAAUGUGUAAAUAUAUACACUGUCAAAACGAAUGAUAGUACAUAAAUAUCGAUAAUCUAUUCACCAUCAUGAUUGACAUUGGAGAUAUUGAUUUGCCUUACCGAACAAUAAAAACGUAAAUUAAGCUCUGGCAUAAAGCAACUGACAGAAAGUGUCACUGGUUUCUGAUGGACCAAUGCGGUUCGAAGAUCGUUAGUUACAAUUUCGAGUGCAAAAAACACGGAGGACAAUUUCGUAACAGAUUGCAUCUCAGAAUUUCGCACUGACACAUCACUAUGGGGUUCGAUGCCAUGAUAACUUCCUGCAAGCAAAGGAUAGCGUUAAUAACGAUACUUCUUGCAUCUAAUGGUAAAUUGCAUACAUUUUUAUUCCUCCGAUCAUCCAAUCACAUUUUUUUAACGAAUUUAUGUGCUUCAUUUAUUAGACUAGGAUAACGUCUCCUUGCAUAUCGUGUCUUCGAUGUGAUUAAAAUUUUAUAUCGAUAAUAUUAAUUGAUAUAAUUUGGAUAAAAUCAGGAUUUGCUCAAUAUCGAUAUUUGUAAAAGUUGUGAAAAUAAAAAAUACGAAUAUGAAAUGGCACGAACGUCCAUAGGCUAAUAUUAAUAAGGCUAUGAUAAUAGGACAGAAUAUGUAUCUUAUACUUUAGUAAUUAAAGUUGAGAAUUCCAUACCACACAUGCUGUAGUGUAAUAAAUAAAAUUUGUGUUCUUUAUAAAUAUAGCAACAGUUUAUUAAUUUCAUUCGUAGUUAAAGUUCUAUGGUUCGUUAGUUACAGUGAUAAAAUAUUACGAUAAUUAUUAAAAUAUAAACACGGUAUUAGAACGGUAUUUUACAAUAUUUUUUCUUCCUAAGAUAUUUAGCUUCGAAAAGGUUAAACUUUUCUCUAUCAGCAUAAAACGUAUUAAAAAAGGAGGAUAGAUUAAAGGAUCAUCGUAACAUUAAGAAAUAGAAGAAGAAUUACAAAAAAACUCGAUACAUUUCGAUAGGAUGUGUUACAGGAAUAUAUCGGUAUUAGUGUUUAAUCUUUAUCUUGCAAACUAUGGAAGGAAAUGUAUUCCAUCGGCUUCGUACGUACGUGUUUCAGUUUAUUUAUUAA